CCUACGGGUGGCAGCAGUGAGGAAUAUUGGUCAAUGGGCGCUAGCCUGAACCAGCCAAGUAGCGUGAAGGAUGACUGCCCUAUGGGUUGUAAACUUCUUUUAUAGGGGAAUAAAGUGCAGUAUGUAUACUGCUUUGCAUGUACCUUAUGAAUAAGGAUCGGCUAACUCCGUGCCAGCAGCCGCGGUAAUACGGAGGAUCCGAGCGUUAUCCGGAUUUAUUGGGUUUAAAGGGAGCGUAGGCGGGUUGUUAAGUCAGGUGUGAAAGUUUGCGGCUCAACCGUAAAAUUGCAGUUGAUACUGGCAUACUUGAGGAAAGUAGAGGUAGGGUGAAUUCGUGGUGUAGCGGGGAAAUGCUGUGAUAUCACGAAGAACUCCGAUUGCGAAGGCAGCCUGCUGGACUGUAACCGACGCCGAUGCUCGAAAGGGUGGGUAUCAAACAGGAUUAGAUACCCUUGUAGUC
RNAcentral lists this ribosomal RNA (460 nucleotides) under uncultured bacterium. Its description in RNAcentral is "partial 16S ribosomal RNA". It matches the Rfam family "Bacterial small subunit ribosomal RNA", at positions 338 to 795 of the family's 1533-position model. The record is from RNAcentral.